UACGGGAGGCAGCAGUGGGGAAUAUUGCACAAUGGGCGAAAGCCUGAUGCAGCUAUGCCGCGUGUAUGAAGAAGGCCUUAGGGUUGUAAAGUACUUUCAUCGGGGAGGAAAAACAAAACUAAUAAUUUUAUUUCUUGACGUUACCCGAAAAAGAAGCACCGGCUAACUCCGUGCCAGCAGCCGCGGUAAUACGGAGGGUGCUAGCGUUAAUCAGAAUUACUGGGCGUAAAGAGCACGUAGGUGGUUUUUUUAAGUCAGAUGUGAAAUCCCUGGGCUUAACCUGGAACUGCAUUUUGAAACUGAAAUACUAGAGUAUCGUAGAGGGAGGUAGAAUUCUAGGUGUAGCGGUGAAAUGCGUAGAUAUCUGGAGGAAUACCUGUGGCGAAAGCGGCCUCCUAAACGAAUACUGACACUGAGGUGCGAAAGCGUGGGGAGCGAAACAGGGAUUAGACUACC
RNAcentral lists this ribosomal RNA (456 nucleotides) under uncultured bacterium. RNAcentral's name for it is "bacterial SSU rRNA". It matches the Rfam family "Bacterial small subunit ribosomal RNA", at positions 340 to 787 of the family's 1533-position model. The record is from RNAcentral.